RNAcentral lists this transfer RNA (83 nucleotides) under Chloroflexota bacterium. RNAcentral describes it as "Chloroflexi bacterium tRNA-Leu". It matches the Rfam family "tRNA". Rfam says of the family: Transfer RNA (tRNA) molecules are approximately 80 nucleotides in length. Their secondary structure includes four short double-helical elements and three loops (D, anti-codon, and T loops). Further hydrogen bonds mediate the characteristic L-shaped molecular structure. tRNAs have two regions of fundamental functional importance: the anti-codon, which is responsible for specific mRNA codon recognition, and the 3' end, to which the tRNAs corresponding amino acid is attached (by aminoacyl-tRNA synthetases). tRNAs cope with the degeneracy of the genetic code in two manners: having more than one tRNA (with a specific anti-codon) for a particular amino acid; and 'wobble' base-pairing, i.e. permitting non-standard base-pairing at the 3rd anti-codon position. The record is from RNAcentral. Lineage: Bacteria; Bacillati; Chloroflexota.
GCCCCUGUGACGCAACUGGCGACGUGGCGGGUUUAAGCUCCGCUGUCCGAAAGGGCUUGUAGGUUCGAAUCCUACCAGGGGUA